This 76-nucleotide transfer RNA is filed under the name Candidatus Thorarchaeota archaeon. RNAcentral describes it as "tRNA-Gln". It matches the Rfam family "tRNA". From Rfam's summary of the family: Transfer RNA (tRNA) molecules are approximately 80 nucleotides in length. Lineage: Archaea; Promethearchaeati; Candidatus Thorarchaeota. The record is from RNAcentral.
AGCCCCGUAGUGUAGCGGUCCAGCACCCUCGGCUCUGGACCGGGGAACCCAGGUUCGAGUCCUGGCGGGGCUACCA